RNAcentral lists this ribosomal RNA (517 nucleotides) under uncultured bacterium. RNAcentral's name for it is "bacterial SSU rRNA". It matches the Rfam family "Bacterial small subunit ribosomal RNA", at positions 8 to 518 of the family's 1533-position model. The record is from RNAcentral.
AGAGUUUGAUCCUGGCUCAGAUUGAACGCUGGCGGCAGGCUUAACACAUGCAAGUCGAGCGGGGAUAGGGUGCUUGCACCUGAUUCCUAGCGGCGGACGGGUGAGUAAUGCUUAGGAAUCUGCCUAUUAGUGGGGGACAACGUUCCGAAAGGGACGCUAAUACCGCAUACGUCCUACGGGAGAAAGCAGGGGAUCUUCGGACCUUGCGCUAAUAGAUGAGCCUAAGUCGGAUUAGCUAGUUGGUGGGGUAAAGGCCUACCAAGGCGACGAUCUGUAGCGGGUCUGAGAGGAUGAUCCGCCACACUGGGACUGAGACACGGCCCAGACUCCUACGGGAGGCAGCAGUGGGGAAUAUUGGACAAUGGGGGCAACCCCGAUCCAGCCAUGCCGCGUGUGUGAAGAAGGCCUUUUGGUUGUAAAGCACUUUAAGCGAGGAGGAGGCUUACCUGGUUAAUACCCGGGAUAAGUGGACGUUACUCGCAGAAUAAGCACCGGCUAACUCUGUGCCAGCCGCGGC